RNAcentral lists this ribosomal RNA (586 nucleotides) under uncultured bacterium. Its description in RNAcentral is "bacterial SSU rRNA". It matches the Rfam family "Bacterial small subunit ribosomal RNA", at positions 331 to 916 of the family's 1533-position model. The record is from RNAcentral.
GCCCUUUCCUACGGGAAGGCAGCAGUAAGGAAUAUUGGUCAAUGGAGGCAACUCUGAACCAGCCAUGCCGCGUGCAGGAAGACAGCCCUCUGGGUCGUAAACUGCUUUUAUUCGGGAAUAAACCUUAUUACGUGUAAUAAGCUGAAUGUACCGAAGGAAUAAGGAUCGGCUAACUCCGUGCCAGCAGCCGCGGUAAUACGGAGGAUCCAAGCGUUAUCCGGAUUUAUUGGGUUUAAAGGGUGCGUAGGCGGCUUAUUAAGUCAGGGGUGAAAGACGGUGGCUCAACCAUCGCAGUGCCUUUGAUACUGAUGAGCUUGAAUGAACUAGAGGUAGGCGGAAUGUGACAAGUAGCGGUGAAAUGCAUAGAUAUGUCACAGAACACCGAUUGCGAAGGCAGCUUACUAUGGUUUUAUUGACGCUGAGGCACGAAAGCGUGGGGAUCAAACAGGAUUAGAUACCCUGGUAGUCCACGCCCUAAACGAUGAAUACUCGCUGUUAGCGAUAUACAGUUAGCGGCUAAGCGAAAGCGUUAAGUAUUCCACCUGGGGAGUACGCCCGCAAGGGUGAAACUCAAAGGAAUUGACGG